UAAGAGAGUUUGAUCCUGGCUCAGGAUGAACGCUGGCGGUAUGCCUAACACAUGCAAGUCGUACGAGAACUUUUUAAGUUCUAGUGGCGGACGGGUGAGUAACACGUGAGAACUUACCUUCAGGAGGGGAACAACCGUUAGAAAUGACGGCUAAUGCCCCAUAUGCUAUUA
RNAcentral lists this ribosomal RNA (171 nucleotides) under Rhizochromulina marina. Its description in RNAcentral is "partial Bacterial small subunit ribosomal RNA". It matches the Rfam family "Bacterial small subunit ribosomal RNA", at positions 1 to 183 of the family's 1533-position model. The record is from RNAcentral. Lineage: Eukaryota; Dictyochophyceae; Rhizochromulinales.